Long non-coding RNA from Herpailurus yagouaroundi (jaguarundi), 770 nucleotides. RefSeq lists it as uncharacterized. Lineage: Eukaryota; Metazoa; Chordata; Mammalia; Carnivora; Felidae. The record is from RefSeq and is a predicted model, not a curated record. The transcript is spliced from 3 exons.
GGGGCGGGCGGCCACCGCCGGGGGGAGGGGGUGAGGUCCGGGUCCCACCCUCCCGGGGCGCCUCUUUUGUUUUAAGGCCGCGCCUGCGGUGGCCGCGGGCGCCAGGCUCUCCUGGUCUCCGGCGGGGCCACCCCGGGGUGCGCAUCGCCUGCCGGAGCGCGGGGGGGCGGGAGGCGUCUGGGCUGGUGGCGGAGUCAGCUGUGUGAUGGCAGAAUUUAUCCGUCCUUGGGUGGUUUGAACUCGUUGCAAUCUAUUCAGCGUUUUGUCAAGAUUUAGUAGAACAUUUGCUGCUUUUCUAAGGAGCUGGUGUCUGUUGCUUACAAACAGGAAUGCUAACUGGUAUAAUAUUUAACUUAUAUUGUAAAAAAAAAUUCAGCUCUUUGAUUUUUCUCUUCAUCAAAGACUCUAUGUAUAUCGUCAAAAACGGACCAAAUGAGGCCACACAUUGUCAUCUUGUUUACAAGAUGAAUCCAAUGUACUCACAGAACACCUAAAAUUGCAUUCAUCAUUUCAAGAUGAACAUAAUGUAUUCACAAAAAGAAACCUAAAGAAAACUAAGCAAUUAAAUAUUAUUCUCAUUUACCAACACGACUGGAAAAAUAAAUGAAAACAUUUAAAAUUAUUAGAGACUCAAUUAUCAGGUACUUAAAUAUUAAAACGAUUGCAUCGUAUCUCUCAACAUGGGAAGGAGUACGAGACCCAAGGGUGUAUUCCUAUUAAAAUAUUUUUGGGGACACCUGGGUGGCUCAGUCGGUUAAGCGUCUGACUUU